Molecule: long non-coding RNA, 342 nt
Organism: Gorilla gorilla gorilla (western lowland gorilla)
Lineage: Eukaryota; Metazoa; Chordata; Mammalia; Primates; Hominidae
Exons: 3
Source: RefSeq, a predicted model, not a curated record
AAACAGACAUGAGCUAAAAGCCUGUCCUGCCCCUUGUUCCAUAUUCCAGGUGCUCUCCAAGUCCUUGGCGAGCUGUUUAGGUAGCAGGCUCUAUAAUGGCUUUCAAAGUAAUGGGGCAGCGAUGCAGGGAGAGUGAAGAAACUUGCCAGACAGAAAAGGCGGACUUUGUCCUAACCUACGUUUCUGAAAACUCAACCAGAAAGAAGACGGGAGGCAGGCAGCACGUCUGAUGGGUCCCUUGGGAGCCAUAAACAUCCAAUUCAACCUUGUGUGCCCGAAAUGACCAGGCCAACUUUGUGGAAGGGGUGAGUCAUGGCUGACAAGCUUUGCAGGCCUCCACAG